CUACGGGAUGCUCCAGUGAGGAAUAUUGCACAAUGGGGGGAACCCUGAUGCAGCAACGCCGCGUGGAGGAUGACGCACUUCGGUGUGUAAACUCCUUUUAUAUGUCAAGAAAAUGACGGUAGCAUAUGAAUAAGCACCGGCUAACUCCGUGCCAGCAGCCGCGGUAAUACGGAGGGUGCAAGCGUUACUCGGAAUCACUGGGCGUAAAGGACGCGUAGGCGGGUUGGAAAGUCAGGUGUGAAAUCCUACAGCUUAACUGUAGAACUGCACUUGAAACUUCUAAUCUAGAGUAUGGGAGGGGGAGAUGGAAUUAGUGGUGUAGGGGUAAAAUCCGUAGAUAUCACUAGGAAUACCUAAAGCGAAGGCGAUCUCCUGGAACAUUAUUGACGCUAAGGCGUGAAAGCGUGGGGAGCAAACAGGAUUAGAUACCCUCGUAGUC
This 439-nucleotide ribosomal RNA is filed under the name uncultured bacterium. RNAcentral describes it as "partial 16S ribosomal RNA". It matches the Rfam family "Bacterial small subunit ribosomal RNA", at positions 339 to 795 of the family's 1533-position model. The record is from RNAcentral.